AAACCCCAAUUCACACUUAGCCAGCUCAAGAAGGCCAUCCCCCCACAUUGUUUCCAGCGAUCCGUUCUCCACUCAUUCUCCUAUGUGAUUUCCGACCUCACAUGGGCAUCUCUCUUAUAUUACAUUGCUACCAAUUAUUUCCACCUCCUUCCUCAUCCUCUCUCCUACCUGGCCUGGCCAAUUUACUGGGCCUUCCAAGGUUGCAUCCUAACUGGCGUUUGGGUCAUAGCACAUGAAUGUGGCCACCAUGCCUUCAGUGACUACCAAUGGCUUGAUGACACUGUUGGC
RNAcentral lists this long non-coding RNA (288 nucleotides) under Vitis vinifera (wine grape). RNAcentral describes it as "long non-coding RNA (VVIN_LNC002659)". The record is from RNAcentral. Lineage: Eukaryota; Viridiplantae; Streptophyta; Magnoliopsida; Vitales; Vitaceae.